RNAcentral lists this ribosomal RNA (398 nucleotides) under uncultured bacterium. RNAcentral describes it as "bacterial SSU rRNA". It matches the Rfam family "Bacterial small subunit ribosomal RNA", at positions 29 to 456 of the family's 1533-position model. The record is from RNAcentral.
AACGAACGCUGGCGGCAGGCUUAACACAUGCAAGUCGAACGCCCCGCAAGGGGAGUGGCGCACGGGUGAGUAACGCGUGGGAAUAUGCCCUUCGGUUCGGAAUAACACAGGGAAACUUGUGCUAAUACCGGAUACGAUCUACGGAUGAAAGAUUUAUCGCCGAGGGAGUAGCCCGCGUAGGAUUAGCUAGUUGGUGAGGUAAUGGCUCACCAAGGCGACGAUCCUUAGCUGGUCUGAGAGGAUGAUCAGCCACACUGGGACUGAGACACGGCCCAGACUCCUACGGGAGGCAGCAGUGGGGAAUAUUGGACAAUGGGCGAAAGCCUGAUCCAGCCAUGCCGCGUGAGUGAUGAAGGCCUUAGGGUUGUAAAGCUCUUUCGCCAGGGAAGAUAAUGAGU